UGGGGGAUAUUGCACAAUGGGCGCAAGCCUGAUGCAGCGACGCCGCGUGGGGGAUGAAGGCCUUCGGGUUGUAAACUUCUUUUGCUCUGAACAAGGCGCACUUUGGGGUGUGUUGAGUGUAGGGGUUGAUUAGCGCCGGCUAACUACGUGCCAGCAGCCGCGGUAAUACGUAGGGCGCGAGCGUUGUCCGGAAUUAUUGGGCGUAAAGGGCUUGUAGGUGGCUGGUUGCGUCUGUCGUGAAAGCUCAUGGCUUAACUGUGGGUUAGCGGUGGGUACAGGCUGGCUUGAGUGCAGUAGGGGAGGCUGGAAUUCCUGGUGUAGCGGUGGAAUGCGCAGAUAUCAGGAGGAAUACCGGGGGCGAAGGCGGGUCUCUGGGCUGUUACUGACACUGAGGAGCGAAAGCAUGGGGAGCGAACAGG
Molecule: ribosomal RNA, 419 nt
Filed under: bacterium
Lineage: Bacteria
Description: partial 16S ribosomal RNA
Rfam family: Bacterial small subunit ribosomal RNA
Source: RNAcentral